RNAcentral lists this long non-coding RNA (3418 nucleotides) under Callithrix jacchus (white-tufted-ear marmoset). RNAcentral's name for it is "lncRNA (ENSCJAG00000064520.2)". Lineage: Eukaryota; Metazoa; Chordata; Mammalia; Primates; Cebidae. The record is from RNAcentral.
UGGUUUGGAUCCAUUGCUGGUUAGCCAGUGUGAUCUUUUGGGGGUGUUAAAGAAUGUUAUUUUGUCAUGCUGCCAGAAUUGUUUUUUUUUUUUUUUUUUUUUUUUUUUUUUUGGUUCCUUCUCAUUUAGGUAGACUGUCAGAAGUCACAUAUGAGACUCAAGGCUGCCGUUCAGAUUCUUUAGUCCCACGGGGUGCUCCCUUGAUUUGAUUCUCUACCCCUUCUUCUAGGGAUGGGGCUUCCUGAGAGCCGAUCUGAAGUGAUUUUUACUUCUCUUCUGGAAUUUAGCAGAUCUACCAGGCUCCACACUGAUACUGGGCAGUGUCUGCAGAGUUCUGUGAUUUGAUCCAUCUUCAGGUUUCUCAGCCAUGGAUACCAGCUUCUGCUCUGGUAGAAGUAAGCAAAGGAGUGAAACAGAUUCCGUGAGGGUCCUUGGUUUAUUUUUGCUAAGUGUGCUGGUUUUGUGUCAGUUAGUCUCCAGCCGGGAUGUGGCACUUUCAAGAGUGCAUCAACUGCAGUAGUAUAGAUAGGAUACAAGCUUGCCCUAGGGCCAGGCAUUGGGUGAGGUCAUAGAGCUCUCAAGACAUUAUGUCCUUGGUCUUCAACUACCAGGGUGGAUAGAGAAGAACUGUCAGGCAGCAGAUGAGCAAGGCUGAGAACGUGCCCCAGAGUACAAGUCUUUCAACUAAGAAGAUACGUCGACUCACAGUUCCUUGGCUGUCCCAUGGAGCCAGCAGCAGCAAUCCCCCUCCUUCAAAGGAUGUAUGGAGUAUCUCAGCUUUCCUGAACCCCCAGAUGGGACCAUCUAGCUGCAGGAAAACAAGGUCAGGGCUCCCACAGAUUCUGCACUAUGUUUUCCUGGGAUUACUCAUGCCUGCAGUCCACUGCCAGGUUUUCCUGAGGCUGAUUACUGUGAGAAGGCCACAUCCUGGGCAACCUUGUCUCGCAGGAGCCUAGACCAGGCUGUUCAAAAUGUGGAAGGAGAACUUCAAAAGCCACAAGAUCAUCCCUCUGGAGAGCAGCACAUUGUCAUGGAGUCAGGGGUACAAGCAGAAAAGAGCAAGCAUGGCUUCUUACAUUUCCUGCUUUGUUUCACACUUUGAAAAUAGAACAAAAUUAAAAUCCAAAAUUUUUAAGCAAAAAAUGUUUGUUUGAAAUGAAAAUAUGUGCUUUUAGUAAUUUGGAAAGUCAUAGGUGCUUGACUGUGGCUAUGUUUUCAGAAAAGGUAAAAUUACAAAAAAGAAAAUAUGAUGUGUAUUUUGACCCAGUGAUAGUUCUCUGAAGCUGAAACCCUAGUUUUGUGCAAAAUACAGACGUGAAACAGUUAUUUAACAAAACAAUCAGACAAAAAUGAAAUCUUUUCUUGUUUCUAUUAGCAUUCAAUAUCCUCAGAAGAACAUAUCUUUUAGCCUUUGGAUAAAACCAAGUGGGCUGGGCACAGUGUCUCAGACCUGUAAUCCCAGCACUUUGGGAGGCCUAGGCGGGCGCAUCACCUGAGGUCAGAAGUUCAAGAUCAGCCUGACCAAAAUAGCGAAACCCUGUCUAUACUAAAAACACAAAAAUUAGCCCAGCAUGGUGGCGCAUUCCUGUAAUCCCAUUCUGGAGGCUGAGAUAGGAGAAUCGCUUGAACCAGAGAGGCAGAGGCUGCAGUGAGCCAAGUUUGUACCACUGUACUCCAGGCUGGGCAAAAGAGUGAGACUUUGUCUAAAAAAUAAAUAAUAAAUUUAAAAAAAAUUUUUUUUAAACCAGUGGAACUAUUAGGUUCCUCAUGUUUCCAAGCUAAAGAAUGCACAUGUGCUGUAACUGGGCCAAUUAUAACACUACACUAAAGCAAAAUGUCUUUGUCUCAAAAAAGCCAAAGUCAUAACUUUAGUUAAUAAUAAGUACAAUAUAAAAAUCAAAAACAUUUAGUUGUCAAAGCAAUCUUGUAAAAAAUUGCAUCUGAAUAUCCCUUAGGCACAACGAUUAACUGGUCUUUUCUAAACACUUCAUUUUUAUUCUGAUAAUCUCAGAAUUGCCAUCGAUAAUAGGAGAUCUGUGCUGUAAUCAAAUUAUGGUUGGUAUUUAGUGUAUUCCAUCAACAAUUAAUGAACUAGAAAGAAUAAACUUGAAGAGGCAUAAAACAUUUUGCUUUAAACACAAAGAAAAUCAAUACUAAUAUAAUCCAGUCAAGAAGUAAAUCACAUGUUAUUUAUCAUUCAAUUCUCUUUUUUUCAAGUUUACCCUUGCCAGAUUCAAUUUUGUUUUUGACAUUGUCACAGAACUAGAUGGUUAUGUUCAGUUAGAGGAAGGAAGAAUAAUACACUGGACAAGUUCAUUCCUAAACUAGUCAUUUUGAACACUGUGACUAUAUUUUGAAGAAAAUAGAAAUUAAUGAAAAAGUCUUUGAGAAUAUCCAUAAUAUGCACUGUCAGUAAGAGUCCUCCUCUCUAGUCUUUUAUUUUCACAGCACUUAUAUCCAUAUUUAUUAAGGAACUACUGCCUGCUAGCAUGUGUGUCAGCGCCACCACUGGAUCAGUGAAUUAAAUAGACAGUUCCAUGUUCCCACAAAACUUGUAUCUUGAUGCCCUUUGGUCUUGAUGGGGUUUCUUAUGCUCCAGUUCCUUUUUUCUUCUCCACCUGCUAAUAAUGCCGUGUUAAUUUUCUCAGCUAUUUAUCCUUGAAUUUCAAAAAUGUGUUAAUGAGAUCUUAGAAGAGGUCAAUCAGUUUCCCUGAAAAUCCUUAGAUUUUAAAUAUUUUUUCUCAGUGCUGGCAAAGCUGCUUCUUACUUAUUUUUAGUUUGCGUCUCUUAUUGCAUUUCAACAAAUUGCUUUUGUAAACAUUGCCAGGCUUCUCUUAUUCCUGUCCCCCACAAAUACGCCUACAUCCACAGAUGAUAUAGUCUGCUCAGAAAAAAACACUGAAAUUUGGUAAACCAGGUGAAUUAUGGAAACAGAAAUUUGAAAUCCUGAAAUGGGAGUAUGUAGACUUAAAGAGGAACAAGAAAAUACCCUGUUGAACAUGGAGUGUCACAGCAUAAAAUGUGAAACAGGAAAAGAAAUUAAAAUUACAGAUUGAAAGACAAUGGACUGGAAUCCAGGGUCUGAAAAUCCAAAGAGCUUUAAAAAAAUACAAAAGUUACAGUAUUGAAUGCUGUAGUAAUUGAUAUAUGUUAUUACAAAUUCAUCUGGUUUGCAUAGGUCAUUCUCUAUUCUUAAUUGAUCAGUUUAUUGAGUUUUUUAGCAAAAUCUUUCUGGAAACUGGUCAACUGAAGUGUAAACGAUGCUGAGCUGGAAAUUCUGACUUUUCUAGUAACUUUGUAAAGUUGCUGAGUAUUUAUGAAUCUGAUUUUCAAAAUAAUAUACAUAAUACCUAUCCAACCAAAUUCUUUAAUGUGAAGAUUAAAUUAAAAAUAUAUAUGAACCUGCUUUGUAAUAAAG